RNAcentral lists this ribosomal RNA (301 nucleotides) under uncultured bacterium. Its description in RNAcentral is "partial 16S ribosomal RNA". It matches the Rfam family "Bacterial small subunit ribosomal RNA", at positions 509 to 807 of the family's 1533-position model. The record is from RNAcentral.
CAGCAGCCACGGUAAUACGGAGGGUGCAAGCGUUAAUCGGAAUUACUGGGCGUAAAGCGCACGCAGGCGGUUUGUUAAGUCAGAUGUGAAAUCCCCGAGCUUAACUUGGGAACUGCAUUUGAAACUGGCAAGCUAGAGUCUUGUAGAGGGGGGUAGAAUUCCAGGUGUAGCGGUGAAAUGCGUAGAGAUCUGGAGGAAUACCGGUGGCGAAGGCGGCCCCCUGGACAAAGACUGACGCUCAGGUGCGAAAGCGUGGGGAGCAAACAGGAUUAGAUACCCCGGUAGUCCCUGUCUCUUAUAC